UACGUAGGGGGCGAGCGUUGUCCGGAUUCAUUGGGCGUAAAGCGCGCGUAGGCGGCCCCGCAAGUCGGCCGUGAAAUCUCCGGGCUCAACUCGGAGGGGUCGGGCGAGACUGCGAGGCUCGAGGUGGGCAGAGGGCAGUGGAAUUCCGGGUGUAGUGGUGGAAUGCGCAGAUAUCAGGAGGAACACCGAUGGCGAAGGCAGCUCGCUGGGACGGUACUGACGCUGAGGCGCGAAAGCGUGGGGAGCAAACAGG
This 253-nucleotide ribosomal RNA is filed under the name uncultured bacterium. RNAcentral's name for it is "partial 16S ribosomal RNA". It matches the Rfam family "Bacterial small subunit ribosomal RNA", at positions 524 to 776 of the family's 1533-position model. The record is from RNAcentral.